UACAGAGGGUGCGAGCGUUGUCCGGAAUCACUGGGCGUAAAGGGCGCGUAGGCGGUCUGCUAAGCGUGUGGUGAAAGCCCGGGGCUCAACCCCGGGUCGGCCGUGCGAACUGGUGGACUGGAGCUUGUCAGAGGCAGGCGGAAUUCCGGGUGUAGCGGUGGAAUGCGUAGAGAUCGGGAGGAACACCUGUGGCGAAGGCGGCCGGCUGGGGGUGCCCUGACGCUGAGGCGCGAAAGCGUGGGGAUCAAACAGG
This 253-nucleotide ribosomal RNA is filed under the name uncultured bacterium. RNAcentral's name for it is "partial 16S ribosomal RNA". It matches the Rfam family "Bacterial small subunit ribosomal RNA", at positions 524 to 776 of the family's 1533-position model. The record is from RNAcentral.